Molecule: long non-coding RNA, 2187 nt
Filed under: Zea mays
Lineage: Eukaryota; Viridiplantae; Streptophyta; Magnoliopsida; Poales; Poaceae
Description: long non-coding RNA (ZMAY_LNC001700)
Source: RNAcentral
ACCUCAUUCACUCCCAUCCAAGCUGUAACACCCCGGGUUCCACAAACAACCCAGAAUGCUACUGAACUACACUUCUGACGUCCAUAUAUAAAAUUUCGGCAGCAUCCCCUUUGCAAGAUUGCAUAAAUAAGGGGGCAACAGGGUAUAAACAUAUAUCAUGACAAAAACAUACUAAGUAUUAUUAAUCGGCUAGCAAGGAAAGAUAAACGUACGACCUGAACUGAAUUAACCAGUGCGCACGACUAUAUAAAAAAACAAACUUCCUUUGACAAUAAGUUUCUAAUUAAAUCAUGGCUGCGCCUGGGCAGCGUUAUUGUGAGAGUGUAAGUGGACGUGCUGCUACUCCCCUCAUUCCCAACAUGUAUCAAGUACCUGCAUUGAGUAAUGCAAGAGUGAGAUGACACAUCUCAGCAAGUAAAAUAAUAUCAAACUAUUCAACCACAUAAGAACAUUGUUUUACCACCACCUGAUUCCACAACCUUCUUAUUACCAAGGUGCAUCACGUAUACAACGUACAACACACCUAGUUACCACACCUCGCAGGUAGAAAACCACAAUAGUAACAUAGUAAUGUCACACUUCAUAUAUUCCUCAUGAAUGCAAAUGUCUGCAAAUGCAAGGAUGACUUCUGCCUUCAUACCUCUAAGGAUAUGAAGCUGCAUCGUACCCCUCCUCGGGCAACGUACGAUGCUAAAAAAUGUACCGGUACGGUCGGACCAUAAGAUCACGACAUAACUUCAAAAUGCAAGAUGGAUGAUGCGAUGUGCAUGUCAUGCCUACAACACUUCAUAUAACGUGAUUCAAAAAGAUACUUCAACUUCGUCCAAGAUGGGAAUCAACCACAUAUAUCAUAACCAAAUUAUGAUCAUCCACAAUAUUAGACAAUUGAGAAUUAAUACUUCCAAACAAAUAAACUUCAUCAUAGAAUUCAAUGAUUGACAUAAUUAAAAACUUAAGCAUACUCAAUGACAGGGAAUAGGAUGCAAACCAAACGGUAGCAACCACCACUAUAUUUACUUGCCUUUACCGGAAGUUCGGGCAAAUCCCUAAGUACGAUCCGGAAGUCCACCACCUGUUUUUGACAUACAACUUAGUGCACCUAUUUCACAUAAUCAGGCUCAUAAACGACGCCGCACAUACGCACAAACUCAAACCCCGCCGCGGGUUACAUCUCUCCCCACACCCACCAAACUGCAGCGGCGCUGCUUAAUAAUUUCAUAACUUUAAAAUUAUGACAACAGUGGUAACAAACAAAAACUCCAGAGGCAUCUACAUAAAAUUCCCCACAAGUUUUGUAUACAAUUUAUAAUUAAAUUCUAACAUCUAAUUAGCCCAAAAUAGUCCACAAGAUGAACCCUGUAAUCUGUUUUUUUGUCUUUUGGACAGCGACAUACCCGGAUUCAAACAGCGAUAUCUUUUAAAAUAUAAUUCCAAAUCAAGCGCAUAAGUACUCAUUAGAAAGAUAAGACAAAGCCCUACAUGAUUAUCAUACUGGUUAACAGUAAUUACCCACGAAAAAUUCACAGAAACUGCUAAUACUACUGCUGUUCAUCCACCUGAAAAUCUGUUUUUUUUGGACAGCAACAUAACCGGAUUCAAACAACGAUAUCUCCUAAAUUAUAACUCCGAAUCGAGCGCAUAAGUACUCGUUGGAAAGGUAUGACAAAGCUCUACAUGAUUCUCCCACUGAUCCCCACUAAUUGCCCACGAAAAAUUCCCAGAAACUGCUAAUACUACUGCUGUUCAUCCACCUGAAAAUCUGUUUUUUUGGACAGCAACAUAACCGGAUUCAAACAACGAUAUCUCCUAAAUUAUAACUCCGAAUCGAGCGCAUAAGUACUCGUUGGAAAGGUAUGACAAAGCUCUACAUGAUUCUCCCACUGAUCCCCACUAAUUGCCCACGAAAAAUUCCCAGAAACCCCUAGAACUACUGCUGUUCAUCCUCCCACAAAAAAAUCUGGACAGCACCUAUACCGAUUCGCAUAGGUAAACAUGUAAACAAUUGGAUUGCAGCACAAAUACUAAAAAGAAUGAUCUUAAAAUCACCUUGGGUUCCUCCUUUCCUCCUUCCAUUCUUCCUUCUUCCUCCCUCCAAACUCCAAUGGAAGACUCGCACCCACACGACGGGGUACCAAGCGGGGAGGAUGCACCAUGGUGAGGAGGGGGGGCGGCUAGGGUUGAGGGGGG